This 253-nucleotide ribosomal RNA is filed under the name uncultured bacterium. RNAcentral's name for it is "partial 16S ribosomal RNA". It matches the Rfam family "Bacterial small subunit ribosomal RNA", at positions 524 to 776 of the family's 1533-position model. The record is from RNAcentral.
UACGUAGGUGGCGAGCGUUGUCCGGAUUUACUGGGCGUAAAGCGCGCGCAGGCGGCAGUCUAAGUCCUCUGUGAAAUCACCCGGCUCAACUGGGUGGCUGCGGAGGAGACUGGGCAGCUUGAGGGGCCUAGAGGCCGGUGGAACUCCCGGUGUAGUGGUGAAAUGCGUAGAGAUCGGAAAGAACACCAACGGCGAAAGCACUCUGCUGGGCCGACACUGACACUGAGAGACGAAAGCUAGGGGAGCGAAUGGG